This 509-nucleotide ribosomal RNA is filed under the name uncultured glomeraceous AM fungus. Its description in RNAcentral is "SSU rRNA". It matches the Rfam family "Eukaryotic small subunit ribosomal RNA", at positions 569 to 1078 of the family's 1831-position model. Lineage: Eukaryota; Fungi; Glomeromycota; Glomeromycetes; Glomerales; Glomeraceae. The record is from RNAcentral.
AGCAGCCGCGGUAAUUCCAGCUCCAAUAGCGUAUAUUAAAGUUGUUGCAGUUAAAAAGCUCGUAGUUGAAUUUCGGGAUCAAUGUUUCGGUCAUGCCCUUGGUAUGUACUGAUAUUAUUGGUUUCUCACCUUCUAAAGAACCGUAAUGCCACUAAUUUGGUGUCACGGGGAAUUAGGACUGUUACCUUGAAAAAAUUAGAGUGUUUAAAGCAGGCUCACGCUUGAAUACAUUAGCAUGGAAUAAUGAAAUAGGACAUCCGAUUCUAUUUUGUUGGUUUCUAGGAUCGAUGUAAUGAUUAAUAGGGAUAGUUAGGGGCAUUAGUAUUCAAUUGUCAGAGGUGAAAUUCUUGGAUUUAUUGAAGACUAACUACUGCGAAAGCAUUUGCCAAGGAUGUUUUCAUUAAUCAAGAACGAAAGUUAGGGGAUCGAAGACGAUCAGAUACCGUCGUAGUCUUAACCAUAAACCAUGCCGACUAGGGAUCGGAUGAUGUUAAUUUUUUAAUGACUCA